RNAcentral lists this ribosomal RNA (503 nucleotides) under uncultured bacterium. RNAcentral's name for it is "bacterial SSU rRNA". It matches the Rfam family "Bacterial small subunit ribosomal RNA", at positions 29 to 536 of the family's 1533-position model. The record is from RNAcentral.
AGUUAACGUUGGCGGCGUGCCUAACACAUGCAAGUCGAACGCGUCCUAAGGGCAACUUUAGGAUGAGUGGCGAACGGGUGAGUAUCACGUGGGGUAAUCUUCCUUCAAGUGGGGAAUAAGGCUCUCGAAAGGGAGUCUAAUACCGCAUGACAUUCCGGGACACAAGUCCCGUAAUCAAAGCCGCAAGGCGCUUGAAGAUGAGCCUGCGUCCUAUUAGCUAGUUGGUGGGGUAACGGCCUACCAAGGCUUAGAUGGGUAGCCGGCCUGAGAGGGUGAACGGCCACACUGGGACUGAGACACGGCCCAGACUCCUACGGGAGGCAGCAGUGAGGAAUUUUGCGCAAUGGGGGAAACCCUGACGCAGCGACGCCGCGUGGAGGAUGAAGGCCUUCGGGUCGUAAACUCCUGUCAGAGGUGAAGAAUACCCGCAAGGGUUGACGGUAACCUCAGAGGAAGCCCCGGCUAACUACGUAGCCAGCAGCCGCGGUAAAACGUCAACGUCG